This 1438-nucleotide ribosomal RNA is filed under the name bacterium. RNAcentral describes it as "bacterial SSU rRNA". It matches the Rfam family "Bacterial small subunit ribosomal RNA". The record is from RNAcentral.
CGGGCGGGCAGCUUACACAUGCAGUCCGAACGAUGACUUCUCUUCGCUUGCUUAGAUAUGAUUUAGUGGCGGACGGGUGAAGUAACAUUUAGGAAUCUGCCUAGUAGUGGGGGAUAGCUCGGGGAAACUCGAAUUAAUACCGCAUACGACCUACGGGUGAAAGGGGGCGCAAGCUCUUGCUAUUAGAUGAGCCUAAAUCAGAUUAGCUAGUUGGUGGGGUAAAGGCCCACCAAGGCGACGAUCUGUAACUGGUCUGAGAGGAUGAUCAGUCACACCGGAACUGAGACACGGUCCGGACUCCUACGGGAGGCAGCAGUGGGGAAUAUUGGACAAUGGGGGCAACCCUGAUCCAGCCAUGCCGCGUGUGUGAAGAAGGCCUUUUGGUUGUAAAGCACUUUAAGCAGGGAGGAGAGGCUAAUGGUUAAUACCCAUUAGAUUAGACGUUACCUGCAGAAUAAGCACCGGCUAACUCUGUGCCAGCAGCCGCGGUAAUACAGAGGGUGCGAGCGUUAAUCGGAAUUACUGGGCGUAAAGCGAGUGUAGGUGGCUCAUUAAGUCACAUGUGAAAUCCCCGGGCUUAACCUGGGAACUGCAUGUGAUACUGGUGGUGCUAGAAUAUGUGAGAGGGAAGUAGAAUUCCAGGUGUAGCGGUGAAAUGCGUAGAGAUCUGGAGGAAUACCGAUGGCGAAGGCAGCUUCCUGGCAUAAUAUUGACACUGAGAUUCGAAAGCGUGGGUAGCAAACAGGAUUAGAUACCCUGGUAGUCCACGCCGUAAACGAUGUCUACUAGCCGUUGGGGUCCUUGAGACUUUAGUGGCGCAGUUAACGCGAUAAGUAGACCGCCUGGGGAGUACGGCCGCAAGGUUAAAACUCAAAUGAAUUGACGGGGGCCCGCACAAGCGGUGGAGCAUGUGGUUUAAUUCGAUGCAACGCGAAGAACCUUACCUGGUCUUGACAUAGUGAGAAUCCUGCAGAGAUGCGGGAGUGCCUUCGGGAAUUCACAUACAGGUGCUGCAUGGCUGUCGUCAGCUCGUGUCGUGAGAUGUUGGGUUAAGUCCCGCAACGAGCGCAACCCUUUUCCUUAUUUGCCAGCGGGUUAAGCCGGGAACUUUAAGGAUACUGCCAGUGACAAACUGGAGGAAGGCGGGGACGACGUCAAGUCAUCAUGGCCCUUACGACCAGGGCUACACACGUGCUACAAUGGUAGGUACAGAGGGUUGCUACACAGCGAUGUGAUGCUAAUCUCAAAAAGCCUAUCGUAGUCCGGAUUGGAGUCUGCAACUCGACUCCAUGAAGUCGGAAUCGCUAGUAAUCGCAGAUCAGAAUGCUGCGGUGAAUACGUUCCCGGGCCUUGUACACACCGCCCGUCACACCAUGGGAGUCUAUUGCACCAGGAAAGUAAGGUAAGCCUAACGCAAGGAGGGCGCUACCACGUUCCU